Molecule: ribosomal RNA, 253 nt
Filed under: uncultured bacterium
Lineage: Bacteria
Description: partial 16S ribosomal RNA
Rfam family: Bacterial small subunit ribosomal RNA
Source: RNAcentral
UACGUAGGGGGCAAGCGUUGUCCGGAUUUAUUGGGCGUAAAGAGCGUGUAGGCGGCCAUACAGGUCCGUUGUGAAAACUGGAGGCUUAACCUCCAGACGUCGAUGGAAACCGUAUGGCUAGAGUCCGGAAGAGGAGAGUGGAAUUCCUGGUGUAGCGGUGAAAUGCGCAGAUAUCGUAAGGAAGACCAGUGGCGAAGGCGGGUCUCUGGACAGUUCCUGACGCUGAGGCACGAAGGCCAGGGGAGCAAACGGG